Molecule: transfer RNA, 78 nt
Filed under: Harpegnathos saltator (Jerdon's jumping ant)
Lineage: Eukaryota; Metazoa; Arthropoda; Insecta; Hymenoptera; Formicidae
Rfam family: tRNA
About the family: Transfer RNA (tRNA) molecules are approximately 80 nucleotides in length. Their secondary structure includes four short double-helical elements and three loops (D, anti-codon, and T loops). Further hydrogen bonds mediate the characteristic L-shaped molecular structure. tRNAs have two regions of fundamental functional importance: the anti-codon, which is responsible for specific mRNA codon recognition, and the 3' end, to which the tRNAs corresponding amino acid is attached (by aminoacyl-tRNA synthetases). tRNAs cope with the degeneracy of the genetic code in two manners: having more than one tRNA (with a specific anti-codon) for a particular amino acid; and 'wobble' base-pairing, i.e. permitting non-standard base-pairing at the 3rd anti-codon position.
Source: Rfam by way of RNAcentral
CGUCAGAUAGCUCAGUGGUCUAGAGCAGUCGUCCGGCGAGCGGAAAGACCCCCUCAGGUUCGAUUCCCGGUCUAGCGA